UACAGAGGUCUCAAGCGUUGUUCGGAUUCAUUGGGCGUAAAGGGUGCGUAGGCGGCGCGGUAAGUCGGGUGUGAAAUCUCGGAGCUUCACUCCGAAACUGCAUUCGAUACUGCCGUGCUUGAGGACUGGAGAGGAGACUGGAAUUUACGGUGUAGCGGUGAAAUGCGUAGAUAUCGUAAGGAAGACCAGUGGCGAAGGCGGGUCUCUGGACAGUUCCUGACGCUGAUGCACGAAGGCCAGGGGAGCAAACGGG
Molecule: ribosomal RNA, 253 nt
Filed under: uncultured bacterium
Lineage: Bacteria
Description: partial 16S ribosomal RNA
Rfam family: Bacterial small subunit ribosomal RNA
Source: RNAcentral